This 440-nucleotide ribosomal RNA is filed under the name uncultured bacterium. Its description in RNAcentral is "partial 16S ribosomal RNA". It matches the Rfam family "Bacterial small subunit ribosomal RNA", at positions 338 to 795 of the family's 1533-position model. The record is from RNAcentral.
CCUACGGGAGGCAGCAGUGAGGGAUAUUGGUCAAUGGGGGAAACCCUGAACCAGCAACGCCGCGUGAGGGAAGACGGUUUUCGGAUUGUAAACCUCUGUCCUCUGUGAAGAUAAUGUCGGUAGCAGAGGUGGAAGCUACGGCUAACUACGUGCCAGCAGCCGCGGUAAUACGUCGGGAGCAAGCGUGAUCCGGAUUUACGGGGUGUAAAGGGGGCGCAGACGGCGAUGCAAGCCAGGAGUGAACGGCCGGGGCGCAACCCCGGGACUGCGCGUGGAACUGCGUGGCUGGAGUGCAGGAGGGGCAGGCGGAAUGCCUGGUGUAGCGGUGAAAUGCGUAGAUAUCAGGAGGAACACCGGUGGCGAAGGCGGCCUGCUGGACUGCAACUGACGUUGAGGCCCGAAAGCGUGGGGAGCAAACAGGAUUAGAUACCCCAGUAGUC